RNAcentral lists this ribosomal RNA (425 nucleotides) under uncultured bacterium. RNAcentral describes it as "partial 16S ribosomal RNA". It matches the Rfam family "Bacterial small subunit ribosomal RNA", at positions 354 to 796 of the family's 1533-position model. The record is from RNAcentral.
GUGGGGAAUCUUGCGCAAUGGGCGAAAGCCUGACGCAGCCAUGCCGCGUGAAUGAUGAAGGUCUUAGGAUUGUAAAAUUCUUUCACCGGGGACGAUAAUGACGGUUCCCGGAGAAGAAGCCCCGGCUAACUUCGUGCCAGCAGCCGCGGUAAUACGAAGGGGGCUAGCGUUGCUCGGAAUUACUGGGCGUAAAGGGCCCGUAGGCGGACAGUUUAGUCAGAGGUGAACGCCCAGGGCUCAACCUUGGAAUUGCCUUUGAUUCUGGCUGUCUUGGGUACGAGAGAGGUGAGUGGAACUCCGAGUGUAGAGGUGAAAUUCGUAGAUAUUCGGAAGAGCACCAGUGUCGAAGGCGACUCACUGGCCAGUUUCUGACGCUGAGGCGCGAAAGCGUGGGGAGCAAACAGGAUUAGAUACCCCAGUAGUCC